Rhodofomes roseus is the source of this 105-nucleotide non-coding RNA. NCBI's taxonomy places the organism in Eukaryota, Fungi, Basidiomycota, Agaricomycetes, Polyporales, Fomitopsidaceae. The record is from the annotation of a RefSeq genome assembly.
GCUUGGGUGGCUCAGUUGGUUAGAGCGUAGGUCUCAUACCACUGUAUGAAUUUCCAUGAUGGAAAAAUAAUCCUAAGGUCGCGAGUUCGACCCUCGUCCCGAGCA